This 60-nucleotide ribosomal RNA is filed under the name uncultured Leucosporidiella. RNAcentral's name for it is "partial 28S ribosomal RNA". Lineage: Eukaryota; Fungi; Basidiomycota; Microbotryomycetes; Leucosporidiales; Leucosporidiaceae. The record is from RNAcentral.
AAUAGACCUCAGAUCCGGCAGGAUUACCCGGUGAAAUUAAGCAUAUCAAUAAGCGGAGGA